UCAAACUUGGUCAUUUAGAGGAAGUAAAAGUCGUAACAAGGUCUCCGUUGGUGAACCAGCGGAGGGAUCAUUACCGAGUUUACAACUCCCAAACCCAAUGUGAACGCUACCAAACUGUUGCCUCGGCGGGAUCUCUGCCCCGGGCGCGUCGCAGCCCCGGACCAAGGCGCCCGCCGGAGGACCAAACCAAAACCCUUAUUGUAUACCCCCUCGCGGGUUUUUUUAUAAUCUGAGCCUUCUCGGCGCCCCUCGUGGGCGUUCCGAAAAUGAAUCAAAACUUUCAACAACGGAUCUCUUGGUUCUGGCAUCGAUGAAGAACGCAGC
This 324-nucleotide unclassified non-coding RNA is filed under the name uncultured fungus. Its description in RNAcentral is "partial contains small subunit ribosomal RNA, internal transcribed spacer 1, and 5.8S ribosomal RNA". The stretch from base 1 to 73 matches the Rfam family "Eukaryotic small subunit ribosomal RNA", at positions 1759 to 1831 of the family's 1831-position model. Lineage: Eukaryota; Fungi. The record is from RNAcentral.